GGUACCGUACCGACUUAUAGCAGUCCAAACCGUAUCGCAUCGAGUAGUUGGUAAAAGCACCAUACUGUAUCGGUGCCUUACUGACCUGUACCGAUCCAUACCGUACCGUACGUAGCUGUUCAUGCCCGUACCAGAUCGAGAUGUACCAGUACAGUCCGAUUCAUCUCAUUUAUCAAAAAAUCGGCUUGAACUUUGUUGG
This 199-nucleotide long non-coding RNA is filed under the name Elaeis guineensis (African oil palm). RNAcentral describes it as "long non-coding RNA (EGUI_LNC060229)". The record is from RNAcentral. Lineage: Eukaryota; Viridiplantae; Streptophyta; Magnoliopsida; Arecales; Arecaceae.